UACGUAGGGUGCAAGCGUUAUCCGGAAUUAUUGGGCGUAAAGAGCUCGUAGGCGGUUUGUCGCGUCUGCUGUGAAAACUGGAGGCUCAACCUCCAGCCUGCAGUGGGUACGGGCAGACUAGAGUGCGGUAGGGGAGAUUGGAAUUCCUGGUGUAGCGGUGGAAUGCGCAGAUAUCAGGAGGAACACCGAUGGCGAAGGCAGAUCUCUGGGGCCGUAACUGACGCUGAGGAGCGAAAAGCAUGGGGAGCGAACAGGAUUAGAUACCCGGG
This 269-nucleotide ribosomal RNA is filed under the name uncultured bacterium. RNAcentral's name for it is "partial 16S ribosomal RNA". It matches the Rfam family "Bacterial small subunit ribosomal RNA", at positions 524 to 790 of the family's 1533-position model. The record is from RNAcentral.